Molecule: ribosomal RNA, 519 nt
Filed under: uncultured eukaryote
Lineage: Eukaryota
Description: SSU rRNA
Rfam family: Eukaryotic small subunit ribosomal RNA
Source: RNAcentral
AGGGCACCACCAGGAGUGGAGCCUGCGGCUUAAUUUGACUCAACACGGGAAAACUUACCUGGUCAGGACACUGGAAGGAUUGACAGAUUGAGAGCUCUUUCUUGAUUCAGUGGGUGGUGGUGCAUGGCCGUUCUUAGUUGGUGGAGCGAUCUGUCUGGUUAAUUCCGAUAACGAACGAGACUCUAGCCUAUUAAAUAGACGUCGGGUUCUCUGCACUCGACGGUCUUCUUAGAGGGACAAGGUGCUUUUAGCACCGCGAAACAGAGCAAUAACAGGUCUGUGAUGCCCUUAGAUGUCCGGGGCCGCACGCGCGCUACACUGGAGGAAGCAGCGUGUAACAACCUUGUUCUAACGAACUGGGUAACCCGUGGAACUUCCUUCAUGAUUGGGAUAGGGGUUUGCAAUUGUGCCCCUUGAACGAGGAAUUCCCAGUAAACACUAGUCAUCAGCUAGUGCUGAUUACGUCCCUGCCCUUUGUACACACCGCCCGUCGCUACUACCGAUUGAAUGGUUUAGUGA